GGAAGGGCCAUAGCUCAGUGAUAGAGUGUCUGCCUUUCACACAGGAAAUCCUGGGUUCAAUCCCUGGCAUUUCCG
Molecule: non-coding RNA, 75 nt
Organism: Podarcis lilfordi (Lilford's wall lizard)
Lineage: Eukaryota; Metazoa; Chordata; Lepidosauria; Squamata; Lacertidae
Source: the annotation of a GenBank genome assembly